GCUAUACAUGCAGUCGAGCGAUGGAUUAAGAGCUUGCUCUUAUGAAGUUAGCGGCGGACGGGUGAGUAACACGUGGGUAACCUGCCCAUAAGACUGGGAUAACUCCGGGAAACCGGGGCUAAUACCGGAUAACAUUUUGAACCGCAUGGUUCGAAAUUGAAAGGCGGCUUCGGCUGUCACUUAUGGAUGGACCCGCGUCGCAUUAGCUAGUUGGUGAGGUAACGGCUCACCAAGGCAACGAUGCGUAGCCGACCUGAGAGGGUGAUCGGCCACACUGGGACUGAGACACGGCCCAGACUCCUACGGGAGGCAGCAGUAGGGAAUCUUCCGCAAUGGACGAAAGUCUGACGGAGCAACGCCGCGUGAGUGAUGAAGGCUUUCGGGUCGUAAAACUCUGUUGUUAGGGAAGAACAAGUGCUAGUUGAAUAAGCUGGCACCUUGACGGUACCUAACCAGAAAGCCACGGCUAACUACGUGCCAGCAGCCGCGGUAAUACGUAGGUGGCAAGCGUUAUCCGGAAUUAUUGGGCGUAAAGCGCGCGCAGGUGGUUUCUUAAGUCUGAUGGUGAAAGCCCAGGGCUCACCCGUGGAAGGUCCAUGGGAAACUGGGAGACUUUGAG
RNAcentral lists this ribosomal RNA (619 nucleotides) under Bacillus cereus. Its description in RNAcentral is "bacterial SSU rRNA". It matches the Rfam family "Bacterial small subunit ribosomal RNA", at positions 48 to 647 of the family's 1533-position model. The record is from RNAcentral. Lineage: Bacteria; Bacillati; Bacillota; Bacilli; Caryophanales; Bacillaceae.